This 607-nucleotide long non-coding RNA is filed under the name Apteryx haastii (Great spotted kiwi). Its description in RNAcentral is "lncRNA (ENSAHAG00000010889.1)". The record is from RNAcentral. Lineage: Eukaryota; Metazoa; Chordata; Aves; Apterygiformes; Apterygidae.
AAAUAGGGUUCUGGUAUACUCGGUUGUAAGGGAAAUGGUGUCAUAAAGGGAAUCAGGAAAAUGCCAUUAAAUGGUUACCAAAAAGGAGAAGAAAGCAUGGAGGAAAGUAUAAAGGCUACGAGUGUGGACCUGAGACAAAGUGGUUGCUACCUGCAAGAAGCUUGGAAGAGUGAGCAGAUACAGAAGGACAAGAAGACUGCCAGAAGGUAUUUGUAAUUGAAGGACAAGACGGAUUUUAAGAGAUGAUGGAUCAUUUAGAAGACAUCGUAUCUCAAGUACCAAGCUGUGGAGAACUGGACAAGGAGAUGUUUCUUUCUUUUCCUGCACCUGUGUCUUGCCAACAAACACUAUAUGUGCCAGUUCAUCACAAACUGAUGACAAGGAGGAGCAAGCAAUCGAUGGUCAGGUUGUGACUGCGAUGAAGGCAAUAACAACAGUACUGGAGCAAGAAAUCCCAGAGCAGCUUGACAGACAAAAACUUAUACAUGAGACAGGCAUACCUGCUUUGAAGCAUAUUUUAGAAGAUAUACAGCUGAAAGGACCAGGAAAUGUAACUUUUAAAAUUCUGGUUGUACUCUUUUUGGUUAAAUUAUGGAAAAGGCUGUGA